CUGAGGGCACCGAGCCGCGCGCCUGCUUUCUGUUAUUAAAAGAGGGAAAUGGAAAAAAAACCAAACAACCCACAAAAAACAACACCCCGCGAUGUAAACAUUCUUACAAUUGCUGCGGAAACUGGAUAUAACCAGGAAGACAGACAAGGCUGCAGCUACUUUUUCUGGGGAGGCCAGUGUGAGCAAUGGGAGUGUAUUCUGGAUCAGACACUAGUGAUGACUGCAUGGAUCCUGCUGGUGAGAACACCAAAACAUCACCCGAGUUACUAGCUGCAGUCUUUCACACGGAGAGGACCUAG
Molecule: non-coding RNA, 299 nt
Organism: Lonchura striata (white-rumped munia)
Lineage: Eukaryota; Metazoa; Chordata; Aves; Passeriformes; Estrildidae
Source: RefSeq, a predicted model, not a curated record